UACGUAGGGUGCAGGCGUUUAAUCGGAAUUACUGGGCGUAAAGCGUGCGCAGGCGGCGCGUUUAAGACAGGUGUGAAAGCCCCCGAGCUUAACUUGGGAAUUGCGCUUGUGACUGGCGUGCUGGAGUGUGGCAGAGGGGGGGUAGAAUUCCACGUGUAGCAGUGAAAUGCGUAGAGAUGUGGAGGAACACCGAUGGCGAAGGCAGCCCCCUGGGUCAAGAUUGACGCUCAUGCACGAAAGCGUGGGGAGCAAACAGG
This 257-nucleotide ribosomal RNA is filed under the name uncultured bacterium. Its description in RNAcentral is "partial 16S ribosomal RNA". It matches the Rfam family "Bacterial small subunit ribosomal RNA", at positions 524 to 776 of the family's 1533-position model. The record is from RNAcentral.